AGCCUGAUGCAGCCAUGCCGCGUGUGUGAAGAAGGCCUUCGGGUUGUAAAGCACUUUCAGUCGUGAGGAAGGUUUAGGAGUUAAUAGCGGAUUUAUUUGACGUUAGCGACAGAAGAAGCACCGGCUAACUCCGUGCCAGCAGCCGCGGUAAUACGGAGGUGGCGAGCGUUAAUCGGAAUUACUGGGCGUAAAGCGCAUGCAGGUGGUUUGUUAAGUCAGAUGUGAAAGCCCGGGGCUCAACCUCGGAAUAGCAUUUGAAACUGGCAGACUAGAGUACUGUAGAGGGGGGUAGAAUUUCAGGUGUAGCGGUGAAAUGCGUAAAGAUCUGAAGGAAUACCGGUGGCGAAGGCGGCCCCCUGGACAGAUACUGACACUCAGAUGCGAAAGCGUGGGGAGCAAACAGGAUUAGAUACCCUGGUAGUCCACGCCGUAAACGAUGUCUACUUGGAGGUUGUGGCCUUGAGCCGUGGCUUUCGGAGCUAACGCGUUAAGUAGACCGCCUGGGGAGUACGGUCGCAAGAUUAAAACUCAAAUGAAUUGACGGGGGCCCGCACAAGCGGUGGAGCAUGUGGUUUAAUUCGAUGCAACGCGAAGAACCUUACCUACUCUUGACAUCCAGAGAACUUUCCAGAGAUGAAUUGGUGCCUUCGGGAACUCUGAGACAGGUGCUGCAUGGCUGUCGUCAGCUCGUGUUGUGAAA
Molecule: ribosomal RNA, 700 nt
Filed under: Vibrio sp. LC4a
Lineage: Bacteria; Pseudomonadati; Pseudomonadota; Gammaproteobacteria; Vibrionales; Vibrionaceae
Description: bacterial SSU rRNA
Rfam family: Bacterial small subunit ribosomal RNA
Source: RNAcentral